AGGGAUCAUUACUGAGUGAGGGCUCACGCCCGACCUCCAACCCUUUGUGAACACAUCUUGUUGCUUCGGGGGCGACCCUGCCGGCACUACGUCGCCGGGCGCCCCCGAAGGUCUCCAAACACUGCAUCUUUGCGUCGGAGUUUAAAACAAAAUUAAACAAAACUUUCAACAACGGAUCUCUUGGUUCUGGCAUCGAUGAAGAACGCAGCGAAAUGCGAUAAGUAAUGUGAAUUGCAGAAUUCAGUGAAUCAUCGAAUCUUUGAACGCACAUUGCGCCCUUUGGUAUUCCGAAGGGCAUGCCUGUUCGAGCGUCAUUUCACCACUCAAGCCUGGCUUGGUAUUGGGCGUCGCGGCUCCGCGCGCCUUAAAGUCUCCGGCUGAGCCAUUCGUCUCUAAGCGUUGUGGAUUUUCUAAUUCGCUUCGGAGUGCGGGUGGCCGCGGCCGUUAAAUCUUUAUUCAAAGGUUGACCUCGGAUCAGGUAGGGAUA
This 487-nucleotide ribosomal RNA is filed under the name Pseudocercospora sawadae. RNAcentral describes it as "eukaryotic LSU rRNA". The stretch from base 161 to 314 matches the Rfam family "5.8S ribosomal RNA". Lineage: Eukaryota; Fungi; Ascomycota; Dothideomycetes; Mycosphaerellales; Mycosphaerellaceae. The record is from RNAcentral.